AUAUAAUAUCUAAUAUGUAAAUAACUGUCUUAACCCCCCAAAUGCAAUGUUUAUAUAUAAUUAUUUAAAUUUAAGGACUUAAGUAAAAUGUUUAUUUUUAUUUUUCUGACCCUGUUUAACAAUGUUGUCAGAUUUUCCUGUGAACUGGGAACACUGGUAUAACUGAUAAUGAAAUUUGAAACAAAAAUAUUCAACAUUAAAUAUUUUUAUCAUUCGUGUCAGUAAAAAAGUGUGUAUUGUUCAGGAUUUUUUUAAGUAAUUAAGAGAACACUAGAUGGUUCACAUGAGCCAACAAUUUCACAGCAAUUAAACAUGUUCACAUUUCCCAUAUGGUCUGUGCGACAGUGUAGAACCACCCCUCAUUUCUUUACAUUCUGCUUGGAAAAUGGAAAAUGGAUGCAGUAAUGUAGUGAAAAAUUUACAAAUAAAAAUGGAAACGCAGCAGCUGAGGCAAAAAGAGUUUGUGCAAUUUUUAUAAGCUUUAAACCAGCAUGUUGAUUCUUCAGAACCAGACAUGAUGGUCAACACAAAUUAUACAUUUUGUGUAUAUUUUUAUUCACAGGUGAUCAUUUUUCAUUUAGUGUAGUACAAUAUUUAGCAUAUUUUUUGAUUUCCCAAAAAAUGAUUUAUUUAGCACAAUAUAGUGGGCUACAUACUGAACUCAGUAUCACACUAUUGGUCUCAUUAAUAUACACAUCCUGGUUCCUGUGCCAAAUCAUUGACGGAUGUUUUCUCUGAUUUCUUAAUGACGUGACCUUCAGUUACUUUGUAUCUGCUGUAGUCGUUGUAGCUUGAAUCAAAUUUGUUGAGGGCACCUUUGGGAUGUUUUUUAGAUUGAACUAAAGAAAUGAGAACAAAUCCCUCCCUCUGUGCUCUUAUGAAAGAGCAGAGGGAGGGAUUUGCUUUGGAAAAAACUGUAUAUUUGCCCAACAUCUGUAAAGCAGUGGGUGUGAUUUAUUCUGCCUCCACCUUUCUGUUUGACUUUGCUCUUUUAUUUAAUCUCUUAGUGUUUCUGUGCAAUGAGCAAAACAACAAGAACAACAGCAGCAGCGAUGAAGUUUCAUGCUUUUGUUUUCAUUCUUCUCUUCAUCUGCACGUAUCUGAGUCUGGCACAAGGCUCGUAUGGCAAGUGCUGCCUCGGCUAUGUUAACGACAUAAAAAAGAA
This is a long non-coding RNA of Haplochromis burtoni (Burton's mouthbrooder), 1165 nucleotides long. RefSeq lists it as uncharacterized. Lineage: Eukaryota; Metazoa; Chordata; Actinopteri; Cichliformes; Cichlidae. The transcript has 2 exons. The record is from RefSeq and is a predicted model, not a curated record.